This 325-nucleotide RNase P RNA is filed under the name Clostridium sp. RNAcentral's name for it is "RNase P RNA component class A". It matches the Rfam family "Bacterial RNase P class A". From Rfam's summary of the family: Ribonuclease P (RNase P) is a ubiquitous endoribonuclease, found in archaea, bacteria and eukarya as well as chloroplasts and mitochondria. Its best characterised activity is the generation of mature 5'-ends of tRNAs by cleaving the 5'-leader elements of precursor-tRNAs. Lineage: Bacteria; Bacillati; Bacillota; Clostridia; Eubacteriales; Clostridiaceae. The record is from RNAcentral.
CGAGUAAGCCAGACAAUCGCUGCUGAGAAAUCAGGAGAGGAAAGUCCGAGCUCCAUAGGGCAGGGUGCUGGGUAACUCCCAGUGAAGGCGACUUUAAGGAAAGUGCAACAGAGAUAUACCGCCCAGGCAAUGGGUAAGGGUGGAAAGGCGAGGUAAGAGCUCACCAGCGCAAUGGCGACUUUGCGGCUAUGUAAACCCCAUCUGGAGCAAGAUCGAAAGUGGAACAUUAUGGGGCUGCCCGUCCCGUUCCCGGGUGUAUCGCUUGAGCCCAUUAGUAAUAAUGGGCCUAGAUAGAUGAUUGUCUAACACAGAACUCGGCUUAUAG